RNAcentral lists this ribosomal RNA (460 nucleotides) under uncultured bacterium. Its description in RNAcentral is "partial 16S ribosomal RNA". It matches the Rfam family "Bacterial small subunit ribosomal RNA", at positions 338 to 795 of the family's 1533-position model. The record is from RNAcentral.
CCUACGGGGAGCAGCAGUGAGGAAUAUUGGUCAAUGGACGAGAGUCUGAACCAGCCAAGUAGCGUGAAGGAUGACUGCCCUAUGGGUUGUAAACUUCUUUUAUAUGGGAAUAAAACGUUCCACGUGUGGGAUUUUGUAUGUACCAUAUGAAUAAGGAUCGGCUAAAUCCGUGCCAGCAGCCGCGGUAAUACGGAGGAUCCGAGCGUUAUCCGGAUUUAUUGGGUUUAAAGGGAGAGUAGGUGGAUUGUUAAGUCAGUUGUGAAAGUUUGCGGCUCAACCGUAAAAUUGCAGUUGAAACUGGCAGUCUUGAGUACAGUAGAGGUGGGCGGAAUUCGUGGUGUAGCGGUGAAAUGCUUAGAUAUCACGAAGAACUCCGAUUGCGAAGGCAGUUCACUGGACUGCAACUGACACUGAGGCUCGAAAGUGUGGGUAUCAAACAGGAUUAGAUACCCCAGUAGUC